GAUGAACGCUGGCGGCGUGCCUAAUACAUGCAAGUCGAGCGAACGGACGAGAAGCUUGCUUCUCUGAUGUUAGCGGCGGACGGGUGAGUAACACGUGGAUAACCUACCUAUAAGACUGGGAUAACUUCGGGAAACCGGAGCUAAUACCGGAUAAUAUUUUGAACCGCAUGGUUCAAAAGUAAAAGACGGUCUUGCUGUCACUUAUAGAUGGAUCCGCGCUGCAUUAGCUAGUUGGUAAGGUAACGGCUUACCAAGGCAACGAUGCAUAGCCGACCUGAGAGGGUGAUCGGCCACACUGGAACUGAGACACGGUCCAGACUCCUACGGGAGGCAGCAGUAGGGAAUCUUCCGCAAUGGGCGAAAGCCUGACGGAGCAACGCCGCGUGAGUGAUGAAGGUCUUCGGAUCGUAAAACUCUGUUAUUAGGGAAGAAUAUAUGUGUAAGUAACUGUGCACAUCUUGACGGUACCUAAUCAGAAAGCCACGGCUAACUACGUGCCAGCAGCCGCGGUAAUACGUAGGUGGCAAGCGUUAUCCGGAAUUAUUGGGCGUAAAGCGCGCGUAGGCGGUUUUUUAAGUCUGAUGUGAAAGCCCACGGCUCAACCGUGGAGGGUCAUUGGAAACUGGAAAACUUGAGUGCAGAAGAGGAAAGUGGAAUUCCAUGUGUAGCGGUGAAAUGCGCAGAGAUAUGGAGGAACACCAGUGGCGAAGGCGACUUUCUGGUCUGUAACUGACGCUGAUGUGCGAAAGCGUGGGGAUCAAACAGGAUUAGAUACCCUGGUAGUCCACGCCGUAAACGAUGAGUGCUGAGUGUUAGGGGGUUUCCGCCCCUUAGUGCUGCAGCUAACGCAUUAAGCACUCCGCCUGGGGAGUACGACCGCAAGGUUGAAACUCAAAGGAAUUGACGGGGACCCGCACAAGCGGUGGAGCAUGUGGUUUAAUUCGAAGCAACGCGAAGAACCUUACCAAAUCUUGACAUCCUUUGACAACUCUAGAGAUAGAGCCUUCCCCUUCGGGGGACAAAGUGACAGGUGGUGCAUGGUUGUCGUCAGCUCGUGUCGUGAGAUGUUGGGUUAAGUCCCGCAACGAGCGCAACCCUUAAGCUUAGUUGCCAUCAUUAAGUUGGGCACUCUAAGUUGACUGCCGGUGACAAACCGGAGGAAGGUGGGGAUGACGUCAAAUCAUCAUGCCCCUUAUGAUUUGGGCUACACACGUGCUACAAUGGACAAUACAAAGGGCAGCGAAACCGCGAGGUCAAGCAAAUCCCAUAAAGUUGUUCUCAGUUCGGAUUGUAGUCUGCAACUCGACUACAUGAAGCUGGAAUCGCUAGUAAUCGUAGAUCAGCAUGCUACGGUGAAUACGUUCCCGGGUCU
RNAcentral lists this ribosomal RNA (1372 nucleotides) under uncultured bacterium. RNAcentral's name for it is "bacterial SSU rRNA". It matches the Rfam family "Bacterial small subunit ribosomal RNA", at positions 28 to 1381 of the family's 1533-position model. The record is from RNAcentral.